Molecule: ribosomal RNA, 433 nt
Filed under: uncultured bacterium
Lineage: Bacteria
Description: partial 16S ribosomal RNA
Rfam family: Bacterial small subunit ribosomal RNA
Source: RNAcentral
GCGAACGCUGGCGGCAGGCCUAACACAUGCAAGUCGAACGAACCUUUCGGGGUUAGUGGCGGACGGGUGAGUAACACGUGGGAACGUGCCUUUAGGUUCGGAAUAACUCAGGGAAACUUGUGCUAAUACCGAAUGUGCCCUUCGGGGGAAAGAUUUAUCGCCUUUAGAGCGGCCCGCGUCUGAUUAGCUAGUUGGUUGAGGUAAUGGCUCACCAAGGCGACGAUCAGUAGCUGGUCUGAGAGGAUGAGCAGCCACAUUGGGACUGAGACACGGCCCAAACUCCUACGGGAGGCGGCAGUGGGUAAUCUUGCGCAAUGGGCGAAAGCCUGACGCACCCAGGCUGCGUGAAUGAUGAAGGUCUUAGGAUUGUAAAAUUCUUUCACCGGGGACGAUAAUGACGGUACCCGGAGAAGAAGCCCCGGCUAACUUCGUG